AGUGAACGCUGGCGGUAGGCCUAACACAUGCAAGUCGAACGGCAGCACAGUAAGAGCUUGCUCUUACGGGUGGCGAGUGGCGGACGGGUGAGGAAUACAUCGGAAUCUACUUUUUCGUGGGGGAUAACGUAGGGAAACUUACGCUAAUACCGCAUACGACCUACGGGUGAAAGCAGGGGAUCUUCGGACCUUGCGCGAUUGAAUGAGCCGAUGUCGGAUUAGCUAGUUGGCGGGGUAAAGGCCCACCAAGGCGACGAUCCGUAGCUGGUCUGAGAGGAUGAUCAGCCACACUGGAACUGAGACACGGUCCAGACUCCUACGGGAGGCAGCAGUGGGGAAUAUUGGACAAUGGGCGCAAGCCUGAUCCAGCCAGACCGCGUGGGUGAAGAAGGCCUGCGGGUUGUAAAGCCCUUUUGUUGGGAAAGAAAAGCAGCAGGUUAAGACCCCGCUGUUCGGACGGUACCCAAAGAAGAAGCACCGGCGAACUGCGU
This 491-nucleotide ribosomal RNA is filed under the name uncultured bacterium. RNAcentral's name for it is "partial 16S ribosomal RNA". It matches the Rfam family "Bacterial small subunit ribosomal RNA", at positions 29 to 506 of the family's 1533-position model. The record is from RNAcentral.